AGAGCAAACGGUGGAUGCCUAGGCUUUUGGAGGCGAAGAAGGACGUGGUAAGCUGCGAUAAGCUGUGUAGAUUUGCAAACAGGAUUUGACACACAGAUUUCCGAAUGGGGCAACCCAACACGCAAGUGUUACCCUGGAAAGGGAGCUAACCCAGAGAACUGAAACAUCUCAGUACCUGGAGGAAAAUAAAGAAAAAUCGAUUCCCUUAGUAGUGGCGAGCGAACAGGGAAUAGCCCAAACCAAUGUUGUUUCGGCAAUGUUGGGGUUGUAGGACUGUUAUAAAUAGUAAAAAUGAGAAGAGGAAUGUUUUUGGAAAAUUACAACCAAAGAGAGUGAAAGUCUCGUACUUGUAAUUAUUUUUACUUAGACAGUAUCCUGAGUAGGGCGGGACACGUGUAAUCCUGUCUGAAUCCGCGGGGCCCAUCCCGCAAGGCUAAAUACUCCCAAAAGACCGAUAGUGUACCAGUACUGUGAAGGAAAGGUGAAAAGUACUCCAAAUAGGAGAGUGAAAAAGACCCUGAAACCGUUUGCUUACAAGCGGUCGGAGCAGACAAGUUCUGUGACGGCGUGCCUUUUGCAUAAUGAGCCUACGAGUUGCUCCUCUGUAGCAUGGUUAAGUGAUUCAGUCACGGAGCCGUAGCGAAAGCGAGUCUUAAUAGGGCGAAACAAAUAGUUACAGGGGGCAGACGCGAAACUUUGUGAUCUACCCAUGACCAGGUUGAAGUGUGAGUAACAUCUCAUGGAGGACCGAACCCGUUUACGUUGAAAAGUAUUGGGAUGAGUUGUGGGUAGGGGUGAAAGGCUAAUCAAACUGAGAAAUAGCUCGUACUCCCCGAAAUGUUUUUAGGAACAGCCUCAUAUUAGCUUAACGGAGGUAGAGCUACCAAUUGGAUGCGAGGGCUUCACCGCCUAUCAAAUUCUGAUGAACUCCGAAUGCCGUUAAGUGAUUUAUGGGAGUGAGCCGCCGGGUGCUAAUGUCCGGUGACGAAAGGGAAACAACCCAGACCAUCUGCUAAGGUCCCCAAGGAUAUGCUAAGUUAAAAAAACGUUGUGUUGUUGCAGCGACAGCUAGGAUGUUGGCUUGGAAGCAGCCAUUCAUUUAAAGAGUGCGUAACAGCUCACUAGUCGAGCGACAAUGCGUGGAUAAUAAUCGGGUAUCAAGCAUAUCACCGAAGCAAUGGAUUGUUGUAUUAAUUUACAACAGUGGUAGGGGAGCAUUCUGCCGACGUAGAAGGAUAACCGUGAGGUUUACUGGAGUUUGUAGAAAAGCAAAUGUAGGCAUAAGUAACGAUAAAGUGGGCGAGAAACCCACUCACCGAAAGACUAAGGUUUCCUGAUCAACGCUAAUCGGAUCAGGGUUAGUCGGGACCUAAGGCGUAGCCUAAAGGCGAAGUCGAUGGAUAGUCAGUUAAUAUUCUGACACUAGAUGAUACUGCGAUGGACGGACGGAGUAGUGAAAGGUCUGCGUGAAUACGGAUUGUCACGUUGAAGAUUUUAGGUAUAUUGGAAGGUUAAUAGCCUUUUGAUGCUGAAGAUCGAUAGUACUAAGCGGAUUAUUCCAAUUAGAUAUGACCCUAAUCAGACUUCCAAGAAAAUGUUCUAAGCUUCAGGUAUUAUUUACCCGUACCGUAAACCGACACAGGUAGUCGAGGAGAGAAUCCUAAGGUGCUCGAGUGAAUCAUGGCUAAGGAAUUCGGCAAAUUAACCCUGUAACUUCGGGAAAAAGGGUCCCCAUGUAAGUGGGGCGCAGAGAAUUGGUCCAGGCGACUGUUUAACAAAAACACAUGGCUUUGCUAAAUCGAAAGAUGACGUAUAAGGCCUGACACCUGCCCGGUGCUGGAAGGUUAAGAGGGGAUGUCAAGCGCAAGCUGAAGCAUUGAAUCGAAGCCCCAGUAAACGGCGGCCGUAACAAUAACGGUCCUAAGGUAGCGAAAUUCCUUGUCGGGUAAGUUCCGACCUGCACGAAUGGUGUAACGAUCUGGACACUGUCUCAGCCAUGAGCUCGGUGAAAUUGUAGUCACGGUGAAGAUGCCGUGUACCCGCAACGGGACGAAAAGACCCCGUGCACCUUUACUGCAACUUAGCACUGUUUUUGGGUCAACGAUGUGUAGGAUAGGUGGGAGACUAUGAAGUGGCGUCGCUAGGCGUUGUGGAGUCACCGUUGAAAUACCACCCUUCGUUUAUUUGAAAUCUAACCUUUAACAAGGGACACUGCUUGGUGGGUAGUUUGACUGGGGUGGUCGCCUCCAAAAGAGUAACGGAGGCUUCCCAAGGUGCCCUCAGUACGGAUGGUAACCGUACGUAGAGUAUAUUGGUAUAAGGGCGCUUGACAGUGAGACCAACAAGUCGAUCUGGUGCGAAAGCAGGGCAAAGUGAUCCGGUGGUUCCGUAUGGAAGGGCCAUCGCUCAAAGGAUAAAAGGUACGCCGGGGAUAACAGGCUGAUCGCUCCCAAGAGCUCAUAUCGACGGAGCGGUUUGGCACCUCGAUGUCGGCUCGUCACAUCCUGGGGCUGUAGUCGGUCCCAAGGGUUCGGCUGUUCGCCGAUUAAAGUGGCACGCGAGCUGGGUUCAGAACGUCGUGAGACAGUUCGGUCUCUAUCUGUUGUGGGCGUUGGAAACUUGAGAAGGUCUGUUCCUAGUACGAGAGGACCGGAGUGGACGAACCUCUGGUGUACCGGUUGUGGCUCCAGCUGCAUCGCCGGGUAGCUACGUUCGGUUUGGAUAAGUGCUGAAAGCAUCUAAGCACGAAGCCAGCUUCAAGAUGAGGUUUCCCUUGAGGGUCGUGGAAGACUACCACGUUGAUAGGUUGU
This 2810-nucleotide ribosomal RNA is filed under the name Dixa sp. Dix1. Its description in RNAcentral is "bacterial LSU rRNA". It matches the Rfam family "Bacterial large subunit ribosomal RNA". Lineage: Eukaryota; Metazoa; Arthropoda; Insecta; Diptera; Dixidae. The record is from RNAcentral.